UGCAGUCGACGCGUCUCCGUUGAUGAUUUUAGGUGCUUGCACUUGAAAGAUUUAACAUUGAGACGAGUGGCGAACUGGUGAGUAACACGUGGGUAACCUGCCCUUGAAGUAGGGGAUAACACUUGGAAACAGGUGCUAAUACCGUAUAACAACCAAAACCACCUGGUUUUGGUUUAAAAGACGGCUUCGGCUGUCACUUUAGGAUGGACCCGCGGCGUAUUAGCUUGUUGGUAAGGUAACGGCCUACCAAGGCGAUGAUACGUAGCCGACCUGAGAGGGUAAUCGGCCACAUUGGGACUGAGACACGGCCCAAACUCCUACGGGAGGCAGCAGUAGGGAAUCUUCCACAAUGGACGAAAGUCUGAUGGAGCAACGCCGCGUGAGUGAUGAAGGGUUUCGGCUCGUAAAACUCUGUUGUUGGAGAAGAACAGGUGUCAGAGUAACUGUUGACAUCUUGACGGUAUCCAACCAGAAAGCCACGGCUAACUACGUGCCAGCAGCCGCGGUAAUACGUAGGUGGCAAGCGUUGUCCGGAUUUAUUGGGCGUAAAGCGAGCGCAGGCGGUUUUUUAGGUCUGAUGUGAAAGCCUUCGGCUUAACCGGAGAAGUGCAUCGGAAACCGGGAGGCUUGAGUGCAGAAGAGGACAGUGGAACUCCAUGUGUAGCGGUGAAAUGCGUAGAUAUAUGGAAGAACACCAGUGGCGAAUGCGGCUGUCUGGUCUGUAACUGACGCUGAGCUCGAAAGCAUGGGUAGCGAACAGGAUUAGAUACCCUG
This 774-nucleotide ribosomal RNA is filed under the name Lentilactobacillus buchneri. RNAcentral describes it as "bacterial SSU rRNA". It matches the Rfam family "Bacterial small subunit ribosomal RNA", at positions 56 to 789 of the family's 1533-position model. The record is from RNAcentral. Lineage: Bacteria; Bacillati; Bacillota; Bacilli; Lactobacillales; Lactobacillaceae.